Molecule: ribosomal RNA, 164 nt
Filed under: uncultured bacterium
Lineage: Bacteria
Description: partial 16S rRNA
Rfam family: Bacterial small subunit ribosomal RNA
Source: RNAcentral
UAGGGAAUCUUCCACAAUGGGCGCAAGCCUGAUGGAGCAACACCGCGUGAGUGAAGAAGGUUUUCGGAUCGUAAAACUCUGUUGUUAAAGAAGAACACGUAUGAGAGUAACUGUUCAUACGUUGACGGUAUUUAACCAGAAAGUCACGGCUAACUACGUGCCAG